CCGAAAUACAAUAAAAAAAAAACCUUGACAAACAUCCAUGUUAAUGUGGCUUAAGACUCCUUGUGUCUAUCAAUGAACUAUUAUUCAAGGACACGGUUAAAAAUUCGAAAAAGGUCAAUUUACGUCAAAAAAAGCAAAAAAACAGAAAAGCAGCAAAUUCCUACUUUUAAAUGACUGAACUUUGAUUUUCACGCAGCAUGUAACUGAAAUUAUUGGUUCCAAAACUGAUAAACAUAAAGAGACGUUCAGCAAUGAUCAAAUCAGAACUAAACUCGUGCACUGUUCAUUAUUUUACUCAUUCAUCAAUUAGUUGUUUGGUCUCUAAAGGACCGUCGAUCAGUGUUUCCAAAGACUAAAACGUCCAUAAACGUCUCGUAUUGUCCAUAACUCAGAGGUGUUCAGUUUACUGACUAAAAUAUCUAAAAUAUUUACAUUUAGAAAGUUUGUAAUUUUAAAAAAACAACAAAGUAAUAAAAAUUAAUUCAAAGGCUGACAACUAAUCGACUAAUUGUUGCAUCUCAAACUACGAUUCAUGUUUUUAAACCAACUUUUUGGAGUUUUAAUGAGAAGAACCAACACCAACCAACAUGUGACUGAAUCCCAGGGUAACGUUUGAAGUGUUGAGCUCACAGAUGAAGCCAGAUUGUAGUUACGGUGAAUAAAAAAGACACAAAUUCUGCUUUUAAAGUCGUUGUGCUGCAACCAUCAGCUCGUCUUUACUUUCUAUCAUCCUGUAGGACCAACAUGGAGGCAGGUUUGACUGGUUGGUGUUUUCCCAGCAGAUGAAAUCAGAUCAUUCUGAUGUUUUCUGGUUAAAAACGCUGGUGUUGUGUUUGAACUGAUGGACUGGACCAGCAGCUCGGUGGGUUCUGGACUCCACGUGGAUGUUUUCUGUGUCCUGAACCAACCAAACGUCCACAACAUGGCCGACAGGUCGACCUAGGCUCCGAUUGGUCGGCUGAGUCAUCCUGUCAUGUGGCAGAAACACGAACUGUUGAAGCGUUUAGUCUCACAGUCCAUCUACAGGAGACCCGUAUUUUAUUUAUGAAUAUGCUGCUUGGAAUUUCUUAAUCUUUAAUAAAGAAAUAUGGUUUACAAA
Amphiprion ocellaris (clown anemonefish) is the source of this 1099-nucleotide long non-coding RNA. The record is from Ensembl. Lineage: Eukaryota; Metazoa; Chordata; Actinopteri; Pomacentridae.